GCAGCACGUAAUAGAGGAAGACAGCACUCAGGAAGAUAGCCACGAGGUAGCCUCUCAUGGCUGGCUCUCCUGAAACACAAUCUCAUCAAAGCGGGCACAGCUCUGCAGCU
Long non-coding RNA from Myotis davidii, 110 nucleotides. RefSeq lists it as uncharacterized. Lineage: Eukaryota; Metazoa; Chordata; Mammalia; Chiroptera; Vespertilionidae. The transcript has 4 exons. The record is from RefSeq and is a predicted model, not a curated record.